RNAcentral lists this long non-coding RNA (894 nucleotides) under Bemisia tabaci. Its description in RNAcentral is "lncRNA ENSSWEETPG009804". The record is from RNAcentral. Lineage: Eukaryota; Metazoa; Arthropoda; Insecta; Hemiptera; Aleyrodidae.
UCAUGUUUUUUAAAAACACUUUUUACUCGAAACUAGAAAGGUGCUAAAAAAUUCAGACGAUGCCAAAAUCAUCCAAAAAGUUCUACGCUUAUCUUCUAACUGCCACCUUUUAAUUUACUUUAUUUCCAUUUUUUACAGUUUGCCAUUGUGGAGGUUUUGUGACUUCAGUGCAGGAUGGCUUCCUAACUGGAUAAGAGAAAAUUAGUCUGUCAUGAGAUUUUGGCCCUUGUUGUCUGUACAAGUUCCUUUGCAUUUGGUCUGAUUUAUGUGACUCAGGGUGGAAUGUAUUUCCUCAACUGAUGGAUCACUUUGCAGCAUCUGUGACAGUGUUGAGCAUUGCUUUGAUAGAGCUAGUUGCAGUAUCUUGGUUCUAUGGUGCCAAUCGUCUUGCCAGGGACAUUGUGCACAUGACAGGAAAGCGACCAGGAAACUUUUUACUACAUGCUGGUGGCUUGUCACGCCUGUCUUCUUACUGGGUGUAUGGACCUUCAGUUUCUUGGACUACGAGAGUCCCUCAUACAAUAAUGCAACUUAUCGCUAUCCAUUCUGGGUGAAUACCUUGGAUGGCUUAUUGCUUUUAUUCCUUUAUCAUGCGUCCCCAUCAUAGCCAUUUACACAGUCAUCAAAAUGGAAGGUGCUUCUUGGAGAGAAGUAAGUAUUAAAGUUCAUAAUACACUACCAUAGUGGGUUCAUCGUUGAAACUUAUGACAGCACAGGAAAAUGAAAAUUGAUUAAUACAUGGUACAGAUAGGGCCUUGUGCUGUCUUGUCCUCUCAGCAUAGCGAGAAUAGUUUUAACAAUGGGCUCACGUUUUAGAUUUCUCAUUCAUUCAACAUGAACAAGUUUGCAGCUUGAACUGUAUUGUACACACCCUAAUAAGAAAAUAAUAAUACG